This 1793-nucleotide small RNA is filed under the name Rattus norvegicus (Norway rat). RNAcentral describes it as "uncharacterized LOC102547510". The record is from RNAcentral. Lineage: Eukaryota; Metazoa; Chordata; Mammalia; Rodentia; Muridae.
UGCACAUACAUACAAACACACAUCUCAAAGUAUUUAUCUAAAACUUGAAAAAGCAUAACCACCGUGACUGAAUCUAAAGCAAAACAAAACCAAUAAAAACUACUUAGCUGUUUUUUCUAAACUUCUAAUUUAACUCUCAUUUACAGAUGAAGGAAUUGAAGUCUAGCAGUGCUACAUGGAAUUUUUGAGCAUGGCACACAUACAAAUGUUCUCCAAAGCAAACCAAGAAAACAGAAAAUUGAUGGUUGGGGCCUGGGAUCAUGAUUCUACAGUAUAAUCUACUAUGCUGCCAUUUAAUAAGACAGGAGCAACUGCAGCAUCCUCAAAGAAACAAAAGUAUUCAAGAUCUCUCAUACAUUAAUUUGGGCACUAUUGAAAGGAGAAAAAAAGUGGACUUGGUGAACCAUUUGAUGCCAUGAACUGUAUAUGAUCAUAAACUCUGGCCUGUACCUAGCAAAGUAGAUAGUGCAAGAGAAAUGUCAAUAUUAAAUUCAGGCUCACAACAAAGGAGAAUGCUGACAGCAUGCAGCCUGAUGUGAGCACAGAGACACUUGAAAGUUUUUUGCUUCAUGAUAUGGACACUUUGAUUUUCUCUUCUCAUAGAACAGUCAUUUUCAAAGGUGGAACAAUGGACCAAGCAUAAGGGUGAAGGGAAGUCUGUGUCUAUCUCCAUGCCUCAAGCUCAUGCCUGUACUACUUCCUGCAGUUCAGGUGAAUGGUUUCUACAAGCAGCAAGAGUGAGUGUCAGAGCAGAAAAGGAAUGGGCAUUUUCUGUGAGGGUGAAUUAUAAGGAAUGAACUCAGGUCUUCAGUAAGAAGCUUUAGCAACUGAGCUAUCCCUGUCUUUCCCAUUUCUUGACAGUUCUGGAUUGCUGUUGUGUGUCAAGAUUUUACUGGGGAGAGGAUACACAUAUCUACUCACAGCUACUUUCCUCUGAUACGGAGCCCAGGAUGGACUAAAGUACAACUUGAUGAAACAGUCUCAUGUUUAAAAGAGUCCCUAUCUUGUGAUGGUAGCACUGUCUUCAAGGGGGAGAGGCAGGACAAAUACGGACAAGGACAAGUCAGGUCAUGGGCAUUUGAUUCAUGAGAACCUUACUCUCAGACCUCAGGGAUCUCAACAGGCUUCUCCAAGCAACAUUUCUGUUCAUGGGGACAAACCUCACAGAGCUGCCACACUCGAUGAAUUUUUAUCAAAUAGCACAUAAAUAAAUAACAAUCUGUGAGCCUGCAUAGCUCUCAGUGACUUGUGUGACCCUUAUUGCUCCCAUUUUACUUGACUCUCCUGAUGUCUUUCCCAAGGCACAGAAGGGGGAAGUGUCUUUGGACACCACAGGUACUAAGUGAUACGCCUGUUUGCCUAACCUCAAGUGACAAAGUGCUGGUCCUCAUAUAUCACAGACUUGCCCAGGGAGGAUUAGGUCACACUGGCCAGGGGUUUUGCUAAUAAGAUCAUGCAUAAUCAAUAAGGGUCAGCUGACAUCUUGUCAACUCCAUCACUGUCAAUGGGGCGGGGGGUGAGGUAAGGCAGUGACAAGGGUAAGCCUGUCAGACACCCAGAACAUGAACAGAUGGCCAGCAUUGGUUGCUGCCCUGCUAUGUAAAGCUGGCUCUUAGAGCAGAAUAGGUUCAUGCAUUCAUUCAUGGAUUCGAUCCUUUGUCUAUUCCACAGAUAGCUAUGGAUGUGUCAGGUAGAAUUGGUAGUGUUAUUGCAGGAGAGAAGGUAUGACAGAGAACAGGACCUUGUGCAUUUAGAACGUCUACAUUUUACAGGGCAUGAUGACAGGGAGAAAA